AUUUUUUUUUUUUUAAAAAAACAAAUUUAAUUAAAAUAACUCUAAUUCCCCUCUUUCACCUUCACUUCCCUUUAACAGAGCUGCGACGAGAGAGGAGCAAGAGGGAACUCCGCAACGCAUCUUCCGUCAAUCCGUCGUUGGGAAUUUGGUCCUCCACAAUCGAUUAGUUGCUAUCGGAGGGCCACCGGAGUGCCGCUUCUUCUGACGCCGGUGUGCCGCUUUCCCUGACUCCGAUGUGCGAGUUCACUAGCGCUGAAGCUUCGACUGCCCUGACGUCGGACUGAUUUCGCACUUGCCGCCUGUUUGAGGUUCUUAUGACAUUAGGUAAACGACGAGUUUUGGUACGGGGGGUCACUGGCUAUAGGAAGGAACUUUUCCCAUCGUCACAAACGCAAAACAGCCAGGGUAGUCAUGUUCCAGAGACACCAAUAGAUGACAGUCAUGUUUCAGAGACACCGAUACCAAAGACCCCAGUAGAUGACUCUGAGACAUAGUAUUUUGGAUCCCCUCUAAUUAAUGCUAGUACACCAGCUACCCAGAAUACGUCUACACCUGUUGUUGAGCCUGGUGAGAGUUCUUUCCAAGGGCUGAGACGGACUUUACACCCUGACGGGUUAUGGUUCCAUAACCAUAAAGUGUCCAAUGCAAUCACAGACAUCAUCCAGGCUCACUUUCGCAAACCUUGGAUUAACUACAAGAAGGUCGACAAUGGCACUAGGACUCAUUGGUGGAACCAGUUUAAGGAUCGGUUCAUUUGGCCUCCAGACUUGCAGAGUGUUGUUGAAAUAGAGUACAAGAAGAAGGCUGCAAAACAUUUGAGCGACUUGUCCUACAAUUAUAGUGUUAGAAAUCCAGAACGUCCAUUCUGGAUGGGAGAAACUGUCUUUGCAGAAUUAUUGGCUCUUCGGAAGGAUGAUAAGUUCUUAAAGAAGUCUGAACAAGCUAAAAAGAACUGAAGAGGCGGUACCCUAUCUAAUCCUAUUGAACCGUCACACUUCCAGGCAAAGGAUCUGGUGGAGUUCUCCCGUCCGCCCCUGAGGUGUUCUUAAAGACCCAUUUCAAGGACGUUCCCGGUAAAGGAAAAGUGCCAGCCAAUAAGAGGGCUAGAGAGAUCGCAAUAAUAUCCAAUAAUUGUUAUUCAAUUUAUUAUCUGAAUUAUAUGCAUAAUAAUAACCAUUUUGAGUAAGUUUUAUGCAACUUUAACUAGAAUUAGUAGAAAUGUUAGAAAUGUGAUCUAAAUGUGGUUAUUUCCAGUGUUACAAACUUCAGUGCAUGCAUAAAACAGAUGGUAAAACAUA
Long non-coding RNA from Chenopodium quinoa (quinoa), 1298 nucleotides. RefSeq lists it as uncharacterized. The record is from RefSeq and is a predicted model, not a curated record. The transcript has 6 exons. Lineage: Eukaryota; Viridiplantae; Streptophyta; Magnoliopsida; Caryophyllales; Amaranthaceae.